UAAGGAAUAUUGCUCAAUGGGAGAAAUCCUGAAGCAGCAACGCCGCGUGGAGGAUGAAGGGUCUAUGACUUGUAAACUCCUGUAAAGAAGGAAAAAAUUCCCAUUAGAUGGGAGAUGAUGGUACUUCUGGAGUAAGCCCCGGCUAACUACGUGCCAGCAGCCGCGGUAAUACGUAGGGGGCAAGCGUUGUCCGGAUUUACUGGGUGUAAAGGGUGCUCAGGCGGAUUUGUAAGUCAGAGGUGAAAUCUUACAGCUUAACUGUGAAACUGCCUUUGAUACUGCAAGCCUAGAGUAUGGAAGAGAGUGAUGGAAUAUCUGGUGUAGCAGUGAAAUGCGUAGAUAUCAGAUAGGACACCAAUGGCGAAGGCAGUCACUUGGUCCAUUACUGACGCUAAAGCACGAAAGCGUGGGUAGCAAACA
This 420-nucleotide ribosomal RNA is filed under the name uncultured bacterium. RNAcentral's name for it is "bacterial SSU rRNA". It matches the Rfam family "Bacterial small subunit ribosomal RNA", at positions 355 to 774 of the family's 1533-position model. The record is from RNAcentral.